GUGAGUAACGCGUAGGAAUCUACCCAGUAGCGGGGGAUAAGCCAGAGAAAUUUGGUCUAAUACCGCAUACGCCCUUCGGGGGAAAGCAGGGGAUCUUCGGACCUUGCACUAUUGGAUGAGCCUGCGUGAGAUUAGCUAGUUGGUGAGGUAAUGGCUCACCAAGGCGACGAUCUCUAGCUGGUCUGAGAGGAUGAUUAGCCACACUGGAACUGAGACACGGUCCAGACUCCUACGGGAGGCAGCAGUGGGGAAUAUUGCACAAUGGGCGCAAGCCUGAUGCAGCCAUGCCGCGUGUGUGAAGAAGGCCCUAGGGUUGUAAAGCACUUUCAGCAGUGAGGAAAGGUUAGUAGUUAAUACCUGCUAACUGUGACGUUAACUGCAGAAGAAGCACCGGCUAACUCCGUGCCAGCAGCCGCGGUAAUACGGAGGGUGCGAGCGUUAAUCGGAAUUACUGGGCGUAAAGCGCGCGUAGGUGGAUUGGUCAGUCAGAUGUGAAAGCCCAGGGCGCAACCUUGGAACUGCACCUGAUACUGCCAGUCUAGAAUACGGU
This 550-nucleotide ribosomal RNA is filed under the name uncultured bacterium. RNAcentral's name for it is "bacterial SSU rRNA". It matches the Rfam family "Bacterial small subunit ribosomal RNA", at positions 106 to 652 of the family's 1533-position model. The record is from RNAcentral.